Molecule: long non-coding RNA, 372 nt
Filed under: Mytilus galloprovincialis (Mediterranean mussel)
Lineage: Eukaryota; Metazoa; Mollusca; Bivalvia; Mytilida; Mytilidae
Source: RNAcentral
AAACCAAAACAUGGUGGAAAAUCACAAAAUAGUCCUCUAUAUAAGAUAUGCCCGAAGCCUCCACCAGCCAAAAUGCAUCAUAGUUCAUCAUCAGGUUUAUCUAAAAAGCACUCGUGCACGCCGCCAAAAACCAUCACUUCUAAAAGAAUUAGAACACUCUCUCCAAUGAAACACUCACCGGCAUCUUUUUCAGCGAAUGACAACACAACUUCAAGUAAUCCUGAAGACGAUGAUACUACAAUUGUCAAUGAGAAAACAACGACUUGUACACAAAUAUACAACGGAACAGGUUUACAAGAAAAUAUGAUUCAAGACAGUUAUUUCGAUCGUAAUCGCCCAGCUAGAACUACAUACCUUAAGUUUGUAAUUUGU